Marmota monax (woodchuck) is the source of this 1709-nucleotide long non-coding RNA. RefSeq lists it as uncharacterized. The record is from RefSeq and is a predicted model, not a curated record. NCBI's taxonomy places the organism in Eukaryota, Metazoa, Chordata, Mammalia, Rodentia, Sciuridae. The transcript has 2 exons.
UUAAGUAAAACUAAAAUCUGGGAAAGCUGGCAAAUGUUCUCUCAAAAUGAGUCGCAGCUUGUCAGCUGUCCAGGAGCUGCUGGCCCCCUCUGAGUCCUUGGAGCCGGGGAGAGGGGGUUGGUACUGCCUGGUGUUCUCCAGAGCAUCCUCUUGGGGGCACUCAGGGACAGCGCUUGGCCUCCCUUGUCUCCCCCCCAGGAAUUCUGGCUUCCCUUAACUCGGAGCCCAAAGCACCUGGGUUCCCGGGGCCUCUCCCUCAAUCUCCAGGGAGCACCGAAGCCCUGAGCAGAGCCACUGCCGCCCGCCGAGGGACUGUGCUGAGCCCGCAGUGGUGGCAAGGCUGCGCCCACUCGUUGUUUGCCCGAGAGAGUUAGCGGCGGUCUCGGUGGCGGCUCCUGUCGCACCGCUGUCUUUACUUUCUGUUCCAUGGCUAAUGGUGUUCCUUUCAUCCCUGGACAUCUGUCGGUGCUGAUGAAGUGAGCUGGCUGGAGAAAGGGCUGGACUUUGCUCACUCCUGGGAAAAACAAUCAUCUGAGGGAGAAAUCAAAUGCCUGAUGGAAACAGAUCAAACGGCACCGAAAAAAUAAUUGGAGCUGCAGACGCACCCUGGGUUGCAAUUUAGGGAGCACUUUGCAGAAGACGUGAUGCCAGAAAGUAGCCCGACUUCCAGUGCUUGUGGAAUCUUCUGGAAGGAGGUGCAAACCAACUGGCCUCUGUGUCCCUGUCGCUGCUGUGGCACAGCCGUCCUGCAAGGCGAGGCUGAGGGCAUGUAGCCUGCUAGCCCAGGGGACUCGGGGAGAGUGGGAGCCAGAGCUUAAUGCUCUCUGUCCUCAGGGGCCGUGGCAGCCAGCAGGGCCGUGAGGGGCGCAGCCAUUAGUCCUUCAUUUCAGUCCCUGGGUCCGUGGGUCCAAGAACCUCGCCCUCCAGUGAAAUGGAGCCUGCAUCUGACUUCUUGAAAGUAGCGGGUCCUCACCCCUGCCCCUCCUCUGUCUCCCUGGGACUUUCCUCCACCUCGGCACUUUCACGCCCCUCCCUUCUGUUGUGGGUGAAACUCUUCACUCAGUCCUGACACAGGGCUGCAGGUUUCUAGGUGAUUCUGAGGCCCAUGGAGGGAAACAGCAAUCUCCUAUCUUUGGUGUGAGAUUACGGGAGAGGCAAUGAACUGCUAGUUCCACUGAACACUUAAUGAGCUGAUUAGAAUUUGGGUGACCCAAAUAGCUUGUAAAAAUGUUUUUUUUUUUUUUUUUGGAUUGGAUUAGGUAACAUUACAUUUAUAAUGAUCUGGAACUUUGGCGUGCAUAAGCCUAUAAUGCUGAGGAAACCUAUUAUGGUUUGGCUGUGAGGUGUCCCUCCAAAACGCUCAUGUUAAUGCAGGAAUAUUCAAAGGUGAAAUGACGGGCUGUGGGAGCUAUAACCUAAUCAGUCCAAGCUAGUUUGAAGGGUCUGAGAGGUAACUGUGGGCAGGUGGGAUGUGGCUAGAGAAGGGGGUCACUGGAGGUGUACCCUAGAAGGCUGCAUCUUCCCUGUGGCCCCUUCCGCCCUUCCCUCUCUCUGUGCUUCCUGACCCCACCGUGAGCUGACAUCUGUCCUCCCCUGGACCUUUCUACCAUGCUGUGCUGCCUCACCCUGGGCCCAGAGCAGCGGAGUCAGUCAUGCAUGGGCUGAGACCCCUGAAACUGUGAGCCCCGAAUAAAAUUUUCCUCCUCUAA